Long non-coding RNA from Cavia porcellus (domestic guinea pig), 823 nucleotides. RefSeq lists it as uncharacterized. NCBI's taxonomy places the organism in Eukaryota, Metazoa, Chordata, Mammalia, Rodentia, Caviidae. The transcript is spliced from 3 exons. The record is from RefSeq and is a predicted model, not a curated record.
GGCACUGAAGGAUUUUCAAGAUUUUCCUCUUAAUAUUUGGCUUUACUUGAUAAUCCUAGAGCAUGCUGGGAAAUCUCAGCAAGAGGAAAAAUUUAGUAACCACAGGGAGGCCUGCUCGGAGGGCUGUGGAAAUGGUUCCUGAGUUCCAUUCUUGGGAGCAAGUGUUGGUACAGCAUAGAAGUAAUGACCUGACACCAGCUCCUGGCUUCUCGCACAGAGGCUUGGGCACCGAGGACACAAUAAUGUUUGGAUUUCACCUGGCUGGCAGAUGGUGGCACCAGUUUUGAGCCCAGGUCUUCUGAUGCAGAUCCAGCGCCCUACCCAGCAACUCACACAGGCUUUUGUUCACAAGUAGGACUCUUGAUUUGCAGAAGCGGAGUAGAAAAGAAACCUUGUCUUUUGUUUUACCUGUGAAGAUUCAUCUUGACUCCACUGAGGAUAAUGAGGAAAGCUUGGAGAGAGACAAAAGAUUAAGGAUAAUUUGCAUAAUGCUAGUUAGAUGGGGAAAGGCUUUUAUUUCAUAAAAUUUAUUUAAUAGUCACUGAAGGCUGGAUGUCAUGCAGAGCUUGCACAAGACUGUGCAGAGAAACUAAAAGCAGGAUAAACCGCAACUAUUCAUCGCAGUGACCCAAACCCAAAGCUAUUCACGCUCGAAGAGAAAGAUUCAUCAGCACGUACCUGACGUGCCCUUUGGAAAGCGUGUUAACCAUUUUAUGUAAGAAGUGGCAUUUCAUCCAGGUUCACUCAUUUGCAUACUUGUGAUUUCAUUUGCAUAUAUUUUACUGUGCUGCACUCUAGAAAUAUAUUCUCUUAUUUUAUUCUC